RNAcentral lists this transfer RNA (68 nucleotides) under bovine gut metagenome. It matches the Rfam family "tRNA". From Rfam's summary of the family: Transfer RNA (tRNA) molecules are approximately 80 nucleotides in length. Their secondary structure includes four short double-helical elements and three loops (D, anti-codon, and T loops). The record is from RNAcentral.
UGAUGUGGCUCAGUCGGUAGAGCAGCUGAUUCGUAAUCAGCAGGUCGCCGGUUCAAGUCCGGCCAUCA